This is a non-coding RNA of Callorhinus ursinus (northern fur seal), 664 nucleotides long. The record is from RefSeq and is a predicted model, not a curated record. Lineage: Eukaryota; Metazoa; Chordata; Mammalia; Carnivora; Otariidae.
GCCUGGCCCUAGUGAUUUGGCAACUGCUAAUAUGUCACUGGGCAUAUCUCUCAUUGGCUCAGGAGCUCUGCCUGAAUGACCCAUCAGUUGUUCCAGAUCUCAAGGCACUUACAAUUCAGCUGGGAACAAAAGGCAACAGAAAACUUUGAAAUGCAGCAAGUAUUCAUCAAAUGCUAAAUUUGGAGUUUUAGGACCUUCAAGGAGAGAUUGAUAAAGGCCGAGUGGAUACUGAAGAUUUUCAAUUACAGAUAAACUGGCUCACACCACACUUCAGCAAAAACUCAAGGUCAAACAAGUUCUCUGAUUUAAGUGUCAGUGGGACUUCUAGGACAAUACUUUUCCGCCAACUAAAGGAUGAGAACUUGAAUGUUUAUCUGUGACUUCUAAAUAAAUGACAUCUGUAUCCAAGCUGGCAUUCAGCACUGAACAAAGUAGGGAAAAGACUGAACUGAAGAACCCCAAGAGUCAAGACUGCCUGAGUGAGCACAGAAGAGAUCACAUGUUCUGUGGCUUCUUUGAAAUGGCCUGAGAAUCUCAGAGAAGGACCAUGCUUGUAGUCUGGAGCCAGAGGACCAAGGGGACCAGAGCCUAGGUCUUAAGGCCUGCUGCACCUGUACCAGUUACAGUACCUGUAACUUCUCUAGUAAAAACUCAAUUACUGUAA